This 543-nucleotide ribosomal RNA is filed under the name Vitreorana baliomma. Its description in RNAcentral is "partial large subunit ribosomal RNA". It matches the Rfam family "Bacterial large subunit ribosomal RNA", at positions 1832 to 2569 of the family's 2925-position model. The record is from RNAcentral. Lineage: Eukaryota; Metazoa; Chordata; Amphibia; Anura; Centrolenidae.
CGCCUCUUGAAUAAAUAUAAGAGGUCCAGCCUGCCCAGUGACUCUGUUCAACGGCCGCGGUAUCCUAACCGUGCGAAGGUAGCGUAAUCACUUGUUCUUUAAAUGAGGACUAGUAUGAAUGGCACCACGAAGGUUAUACUGUCUCCUUUUUCUAAUCAGUGAAACUAAUCUCCCCGUGAAGAAGCGGAGAUAAACAUAUAAGACGAGAAGACCCUAUGGAGCUUUAAACUUCAUUAACACUUGCACUAAUCAAUGCAAAUUUCAGAAAAAUACAUAUUAUUCAUGCAAGAUGAUUAUCAGUUUUAGGUUGGGGUGACCGCGGAGAAAAAAAUAACCUCCACAUUGAAAGGAAUUUUAAUCCUUAGCUAAGAGCUACAUCUCUAUGCACCACCAAAAGUGACAUUAAUUGACCCAACAAUUUGAUCAACGAACCAAGUUACCCUAGGGAUAACAGCGCAAUCCACUUCAAGAGCUCCUAUCGACAAGUGGGUUUACGACCUCGAUGUUGGAUCAGGGUAUCCAGGUGGUGCAGCCGCUACCAAA